Molecule: long non-coding RNA, 1016 nt
Organism: Centrocercus urophasianus (Greater sage-grouse)
Lineage: Eukaryota; Metazoa; Chordata; Aves; Galliformes; Phasianidae
Exons: 4
Source: RefSeq, a predicted model, not a curated record
UUCACAAUCAUGUAGUAUUCUCAGAUGUGGGGAAUUUUACUGCCAAGUGAGAGACAAAUGCUGAAUCUUUGCCUUAUUCGAAACAAGAUUUUUUGCCAGCAAAGUUUCAAUGCCAAGAAAAUGUUGAAAAAAUAAGCUCUCAUCUCAAGUUUGCUACUGUGAAAGGAGACAUUUGCUAGCCAGGAGCACCGCGUUUAUGAGGUCUCAAAGAGGCAUCAAUAUCAUUAUCCUCAUUAUCCUUACUUUGCCCUUGAGGGUAAAUGAGGAGCUCUUUAUUGGACACCCAAAUUACCAUCUCUAAAGCUGUCUCUUAAAUACAGCCCAGUGGACAGACAGUACUCUCAAGACAAGACGGUCAGAUGCUGAGAUGAUCAUUCAGAAACAAAUACAGGAGAGAAUUUGGGACCAUCGAACCAUGGGCCUGGCAAAGACAAUACCAGCUGUGUGUUAAUCAAAUGCCAGUCAAAUCAGACUUCAUGGAAGAGACGUUCAAGACAAAUGGUGUGAUCUGAGGCUAAGGAAACGUCUGAUUGGCUCGCAGCCACAGAGCUCAAUGCUGGAAAAGAAGAUCCAACACAGCCAGCACUGCAACGGAAAUGACACGCGUAGCAAGUGUUUCUCCCAAAUUACACCUAAUGUCUUCAGGUGUUCCCCAGCAUCUUUUGUCUGCACACAGGACUUUCCUUUGCCAGACAGAGGAGAAAAGCAGUAUAAAGACCACACAGAUCACAGUAAUCCACCAGUCAUCUGCAACUCCUUCUCACUUCAAGUAUCAUUUCAUGGCUGGUGGAUUCUGUAGCUUGUGAACUUAUUGAAUAAACAUCCAGGGAUCAGAAUCUAUGGAACAAAAGCAAUCACUCAAGUGCAACUGUGUCCUCUGACUAAGGGAAACCUAAAUUAUAUGAAAGAAUUAGGACUAUACUUGUCAGCCUGUUUUUCUGUCUUUCCUUACGGAGUUUUUACUGAUUGUACUUUCUGAAUUUCAUGGUGCUAGACUGACCUUAAAUUUUUACAAU